GCGGCAACGCCCCCGGCGCGAGUCCCGAGCGGACUUUUAAUCCGCGGGUCGUGGGUUCGAGCCCCACGGGGCCCA
Molecule: transfer RNA, 75 nt
Filed under: Actinomycetota bacterium
Lineage: Bacteria; Bacillati; Actinomycetota
Description: Actinobacteria bacterium tRNA-Lys
Source: RNAcentral